Molecule: ribosomal RNA, 492 nt
Filed under: uncultured bacterium
Lineage: Bacteria
Description: bacterial SSU rRNA
Rfam family: Bacterial small subunit ribosomal RNA
Source: RNAcentral
AGGACGAACGCUGGCGGCGUGCCUAACACAUGCAAGUCGAGCGGAGUUAACAAGAGGAAGUUUCGGAUGGAAUUUGUAAUUAGCGGCGGACGGGUGAGUAACGCGUGAGCGACCAACCUUGCACAGGGGGAUAACGGACCGAAAGGUUCACUAAUACCGCAUGAGACCACGGUGUUGCAUGACACAGAGGUCAAAGGAGCAAUCCGGUGCAAGACGGGCUCGCGUCCGAUUAGGUAGUUGGUGGGGUAAUGGCCCACCAAGCCUAUGAUCGGUAGCCGACCUGAGAGGGUGAUCGGCCACAUUGGAACUGAGAUACGGUCCAAACUCCUACGGGAGGCAGCAGUGGGGAAUAUUGGGCAAAUCGGGGAAACCCUGACCCAGCAACGCCGCGUGAAGGAAGAAGGUUUUCGGAUUGUAAACUUCUGUCCUUGGUGAAGAGAAGAAGACGGUAGCCAAGGAGGAAGCCCCGGCUAACUACGUGCCAGCCGCAGC